GACGAACGCUGGCGGCGUGCUUAACACGUGCAAGUCGAACGGAAAGGCCCUGCUUGCAGGGUACUCGAGUGGCGAACGGGUGAGUAGCACGUGGGUGAUCUGCCCUGCACUUCGGGAUAAGCCUGGGAAACUGGGUCUAAUACCGGAUAGGAGCCAUUUUUAGUGUGAUGGUUGGAAAGUUUUUUCGGUGUAGGAUGAGCUCGCGGCCUAUCAGCUUGUUGGUGGGGUAAUGGCCUACCAAGGCGGCGACGGGUAGCCGGCCUGAGAGGGUGGACGGCCACAUUGGGACUGAGAUACGGCCCAGACUCCUACGGGAGGCAGCAGUGGGGAAUAUUGCACAAUGGGCGCAAGCCUGAUGCAGCGACGCCGCGUGGGGGAUGACGGCCUUCGGGUUGUAAACUCCUUUCGCUAGGGACGAAGCUUUUUGUGACGGUACCUAGAUAAGAAGCACCGGCUAACUACGUG
This 465-nucleotide ribosomal RNA is filed under the name uncultured bacterium. Its description in RNAcentral is "partial 16S ribosomal RNA". It matches the Rfam family "Bacterial small subunit ribosomal RNA", at positions 28 to 507 of the family's 1533-position model. The record is from RNAcentral.